CGGCUCUGGCCCCGGAAGGCGCGGCUGCACGGUGCACACUAGCAGGAAGGAAGUGGGACAGAGUCGGACCCUCAAUAAAGACAGACAGACGGGCGCUGCCGGCUGUUCUUGGCAUUCGCGGGUGUCGGUGCCCGCGCGUGGGGACGCGGUAGCCACGAGGCGUGCGGGCGGCUCGCGCGGGCACCAAGCCUUGAGGACAGGAAGCAGCGACGCCGGUAGCGUUUCCAUUCCUCCCCGCCUUUGUUUGCCUUCAGACUGAAAGUGGACUGCAGCCCAGCUGUGGGAGAGUUAACACAAGAAAACUCACUGCAGGCUGAGCGUCCUAGUCCGAAAAUCCCCAGUCCGGAAUGUCCAGCGUCGAGGCCCGCUGAGCGCUGACCGGUGCCUCCCACGGGAAAUCCACACCUGCCUCCCUUGCAGGGGCCGCAGAUGUCACCGCCCCGGAAGCGGCGGCACGGUUUCUCCCGCUGCGCACACGGGGCACGCGGCGCGGGUAAAGCUUCCGUGGCUAGAGUUUGAAGGGGCUGAGAAGUGGGGAGAGAAAGAAGUCCGUCGUCUUGUCCAGUGGCGACAAGACCUGACAUGGCCCUUGUCCCGUCUGUGGUGUCACCUCAGUGCUGAGUUUGCUGACACCUCCCUGUCAGAGGGGACACACCUUCCACACGCCUGUGCUGGCGCUCCACACCUAGACGUGGGUCACGUGGGUGUCAUGGUUCAGUAGCUAACACUCACUCUAAAGUCAGUCAUGUUUGAGCAGAGGAGAAAGAAACAUGGAAACAAUGCUACAGCUCAUGUAUAGACUUGGACACAACAGCAGGUGCAUGGAAGGAAUUAAAAAUGUUUUUAAGGACCAGGAAUCAGCCAACCAAAC
RNAcentral lists this long non-coding RNA (871 nucleotides) under Heterocephalus glaber (naked mole-rat). RNAcentral's name for it is "lncRNA (ENSHGLG00000049119.1)". Lineage: Eukaryota; Metazoa; Chordata; Mammalia; Rodentia; Bathyergidae. The record is from RNAcentral.